CAUUCAAAGAGUGCGUAACAGCUCACUGGUCGAGUGGACAUGCGCCGACAAUACACGGGGCUAAGCUGGACACCGAAGCGGCGGGAUUUUGAUUUUCAGAAUCGGUAGGGGAGCUUCCCAUGGGCGGAGAAGCCGGAGGGCGACCGACGGUGGAGCGCAUGGGAGUGAGAAUGCUGGCAUGAGUAGCGAGAGACGAGAGAGUAACUCGUCCGCCGUGAACCCGAGGUUUCCUGGGCAAGGCUAAUCCUCCCAGGGUCAGUCGGGGGCUAAGGCGAGGCCGGGAGGCGUAGCCGACGCGCAGCAGGCAGACAUUCCUGCACCGCGCACGCGGCGCUACGACCGACGGGGCGACGGAUGGGGGUGGCUCGGCGGGGUUCUGGACGUCCCCGUGAUGGAGCGCGGCCCGCGGACCAGGGAAAUCCGGUCCGCACGAGGGCGAGGCUCCGGACGAAGCGACUGAGCGAAGCGAGUGAGCCCGAGGUCCCUAGAAAAACCCCUAGGCAGGCGCGUGCGCGCCCGUACCGCAAACCGACACAGGUGGGUGGGUAGAACAUACCGAGGCGAUCGGGUCAACCAUGGUCAAGGAACUCGGCACAAUGGCCCCGUAACUUCGGGAGAAGGGGUGCCCGCGCGUACGUGAACGGACUUGCUCCGGGAGCGGAGGCGGGCCGCAGUGGAGAGGCCCAAGCGACUGUUUACCAAAAACACAGGACUCUGCAGAAGCCGCAAGGCGACGUAUAGGGUCUGACGCCUGCCCGGUGCCGGAAGGUCACGCGGAGGAGUUAGCCGCAAGGCGAAGCCCCGAAGCCAAGCCCCGGUAAACGGCGGCCGUAACUAUAACGGUCCUAAGGUAGCGAAAUUCCUUGUCGGGUAAGUUCCGACCUGCACGAAAGGCGCAACGACUUGGGCGCUGUCUCGACCAUGGACCCGGUGAAAUUGCACUGGUCGUGAAGAUGCGACUUACCCGCGGAAGGACGGAAAGACCCCGUGAACCUUCACUGCAGCUUGGCAUUGGCCGCUGGUCCCGCGUGUAGAGGAUAGGCAGGAGGCUAGGAUCCGGAGGCGCCAGCCCCCGGGGAGCCGCCCUUGGAAUACUGCCCUCGCGCGACCGGCGUCCUAACCCGAGGCCGUCAACCGGCUCGGGGACCGUGCCAGGCGGGCAGUUUGACUGGGGCGGUCGCCUCCUAAAGGGUAACGGAGGCGCGCGAAGGUCCGCUCGGGACGGUCGGCAACCGUCCUUUUGAAUGCAAGAGUACAAGCGGGCUUGACUGCGAGGCCCACAAGCCGAGCAGGUGCGAAAGCAGGCUCUAGUGAUCCGGCGGCCCCGAGUGGGUGGGCCGUCGCUCAACGGAUAAAAGGUACUCCGGGGAUAACAGGCUGAUCUUGCCCA
Molecule: ribosomal RNA, 1390 nt
Filed under: human gut metagenome
Description: bacterial LSU rRNA
Rfam family: Bacterial large subunit ribosomal RNA
Source: RNAcentral